RNAcentral lists this long non-coding RNA (423 nucleotides) under Ananas comosus (pineapple). Its description in RNAcentral is "long non-coding RNA (ACOM_LNC009642)". The record is from RNAcentral. Lineage: Eukaryota; Viridiplantae; Streptophyta; Magnoliopsida; Poales; Bromeliaceae.
AUUUCUCGUUUUCUCGUUUCCGCCUCCCGUUUCUCCUCUAUAUUCCAUCCACUCGCUCGAACACUCUACCUAUUUCGCCACCCCCAGGAACCCUAACUGGUUCCAUCACCACCACCCUAAAACCCUAGACGAAACGAUCCCGCGGAGGAGGAGGAGGGGACCUUUCUAGGGCUUUGUUGGGAGGGGCGGAAGAGUAGAGAAGCUAUGUGGAACGGGGCGACACCGCCGCCGCCGCCUCCGCCGUCGUCGUCGAUGGCGCCGCCUCCUCCGCCGUCGUCGUCGGGGGCGCCGCCACCGCCGGGAACAACCGGAGCCCCGGGGACGCAGCCGCCGCCGCCGCCGCCGCCUCCGGCGGUGCAGCCGUCGUACAGCAUACCGCCAUCGGCCGCGGAGCUGGAGGCGCAGCUGGUGGAGAAGGCAAGG